This 1077-nucleotide long non-coding RNA is filed under the name Phoenix dactylifera (date palm). Its description in RNAcentral is "long non-coding RNA (PDAC_LNC016063)". The record is from RNAcentral. Lineage: Eukaryota; Viridiplantae; Streptophyta; Magnoliopsida; Arecales; Arecaceae.
CUCUCUCUCUCUCUCUCUCGCUCUCUCUCUCUCUCUCUAAUUUUAAAUGAAAAGGUCAUCAAUUGGUUGCUACCUAUUUGGCCUUCCCUCCCUUUUUAAGGGGCAGUCAUGAAAGUAUUUAAGAAAGUUUUGUGCAUUUGUGCACGUGUUGCUCAUUGCAUGGAACUCUAGCAACACAUAUUUGCUGUAGUAUUGAUUGUAGUUAAUUUAGAGGAUCUAAAUUUAGUACUAACUUACAUGGUUGCUUUGUAAAAUUUUAAGCUAGAAGCACUGCAACACUGAAAAGGAGGAAAUGUUGCUUCAGGAGGUGGAAAACACAUUAAACUGAGGCAGUCUUAUACAUAUCGUAGGCAUUUUUUUUUAUACGUCAUUCACUAGCUAAAUUAUAAUAGUUCCUUUGUGGUCUAGAUGUAUGAAUUGGAUGGUUUUGGCUUUUGAAUCUUUUCUUCCAAUUAUGUAUUCACUAAUGAGUCUUGUUCUACUAACAUUAUGAUGUGUUCAGAAGUUAUUGCCAAAGUUAACCUUUACCCUCGCUCCAGCCUAUCCAACCUUUCGAGGCUUUAUUUUUCCUGAUUUUGUUUGAUUAGACGGCUUAUUGCUUAACCCAAGGCCACAGUGCAGUCUGGUUUUACCCAUCAAAGACAAAACAAAAUGAGCAAAUAUUGAUCAUAUGUCUCUUUUUGAAUUCUGCCUUAAUUCAUCUCUUCUUUUCUUCUUUAUUGCAGUAGUGUUUACAUAAUCCUGGCAUUGUGCAUUGCUUGACAUAAUGGACCUUAAAGGUAUAUUGUGAAGAUUGCCUUGAGUGGAUGAAUGCUAGUUUAUUGGUAAAGGAUCUUAUAACUUUAUAUGCUUUAUUGGCUUUUAUCGGUGUCAGAUUUGAGGCUAGUCAGCAACUUGGCAUUAUUUAUCAUUUAAUAGAAUGAGGUGGUGGGGUCUUGUAAUGCUAUUUAUAGUCAUAAACAUGGUUAAGAACAUGCCAGCAACGAAUUCCUUUGUAUAUGGAAGGUUGUUGAUCGAGUGCCCAAGGCUGCUGAUAUUCAUGGAAGCAGUGGUCAUUAGUUUAGGUGAAGAAGCAGG